This 78-nucleotide transfer RNA is filed under the name Salmonella enterica subsp. enterica serovar Typhimurium. Its description in RNAcentral is "tRNA-Gly". The stretch from base 12 to 67 matches the Rfam family "tRNA", at positions 10 to 63 of the family's 71-position model. Rfam says of the family: Transfer RNA (tRNA) molecules are approximately 80 nucleotides in length. Their secondary structure includes four short double-helical elements and three loops (D, anti-codon, and T loops). The record is from RNAcentral. Lineage: Bacteria; Pseudomonadati; Pseudomonadota; Gammaproteobacteria; Enterobacterales; Enterobacteriaceae.
GCUCCAAUUCUGCUCAGUUGGUAGAGCACGACCUUGCCAAGGUCGGGGUCGCGAGUUCGAGUCUCGUUUCCCGCUCCA